GAGUUUGAUCCCGGCUCAGGAUGAACGCUAGCGGCAGGCUUAACACAUGCAAGUCGAGGGGUAACAGGAGAAAGCUUGCUUUCUUGCUGACGACCGGCGCACGGGUGCGUAACGCGUAUACAAUCUACCUCUUACUGGGGAAUAGCCCGGAGAAAUUCGGAUUAAUGCCCCAUAGUAUUACUUCUUCGCAUGUUGAAGUAAUUAAAGGUUACGGUAAGAGAUGAGUAUGCGUCCCAUUAGCUAGAUGGUAAGGUAACGGCUUACCAUGGCUACGAUGGGAAGGGGGCCUGAGAGGGUGAUCCCCCACACUGGUACUGAGACACGGACCAGACUCCUACGGGAGGCAGCAGUGAGGAAUAUUGGACAAUGGACGCAAGUCUGAUCCAGCCAUGGCCGCGUGCAGGAAGAAUGCCCUAUGGGUUGUAAACUGCUUUUAUUUGGGAAUAAACCCCUCUACGUGUAGAGGGCUGAAGGUACCAAACGAAUAAGCACCGGCUAACUCCGUGCCAGCAGCCGCGGUAAUACGGAGGGUGCAAGCGUUAAUCGGAAUUACUGGGCGUAAAGCGCGCGUAGGCGGCUCGAUAAGUCGGAUGUGAAAGCCCCGGGCUCAACCUGGGAACUGCAUUCGAUACUGGCCGACUAGAGUAUAAGAGAGGGAGGUAGAAUUCCAUGUGUAGCGGUGAAAUGCGUAGAUAUGUGGAGGAAUACCAGUGGCGAAGGCGGCCUCCUGGCUUAAUACUGACGCUGAGGUGCGAAAGCGUGGGGAGCGAACAGGAUUAGAUACCCUGGUAGUCCACGCCCUAAACGAUGCUUACUCGAUGUUUGUACUAGAUAUGAGCA
This 840-nucleotide ribosomal RNA is filed under the name uncultured Bacteroidota bacterium. RNAcentral describes it as "bacterial SSU rRNA". It matches the Rfam family "Bacterial small subunit ribosomal RNA", at positions 9 to 845 of the family's 1533-position model. Lineage: Bacteria; Pseudomonadati; Bacteroidota. The record is from RNAcentral.